Molecule: ribosomal RNA, 253 nt
Filed under: uncultured bacterium
Lineage: Bacteria
Description: partial small subunit ribosomal RNA
Rfam family: Bacterial small subunit ribosomal RNA
Source: RNAcentral
AGGACGAACGCUGGCGGCGUGCUUAACACAUGCAAGUCGAGCGGAAAGGCCCUUCGGGGUACUCGAGCGGCGAACGGGUGAGUAACACGUGAGUAAUCUGCCCCUAGCUCUGGGAUAGCUCCGGGAAACCGGGAUUAAUACCGGAUACGACCACUUUAGACAUCUGUUGUGGUGGAAAGAAUUUUGGCUAGGGAUGAGCUCGCGGCCUAUCAGCUUGUUGGUGGGUAAUGGCCUACCAAGGCGACGACGGGUA